RNAcentral lists this transfer RNA (63 nucleotides) under Ochthebius minoicus. Its description in RNAcentral is "tRNA-Glu". Lineage: Eukaryota; Metazoa; Arthropoda; Insecta; Coleoptera; Hydraenidae. The record is from RNAcentral.
AUUUAUAUAGUUUAAAUUAAAACAUUACAUUUUCACUGUAAAAAUAAAUUUUUUUUAUAAAUA